GAUGAACGCUGGCGGCGUGCCUAAUACAUGCAAGUCGAGCGAACAGACGAGGAUCUUGCUCCUCUGACGUUAGCGGCGGACGGGUGAGUAACACGUGGAUAACCUACCUAUAAGACUGGUAUAACUUCGGGAAACCGGCGCUAAUACCGGAUAAUAUAUUGAACCGCAUGGUUCAAUAGUGAAAUACGGUUUUUCUGUCACUUAUAGAUGGAUCCGCGCCGCAUUAGCUAGUUGGUAAGGUAACGGCUUACCAAGGCAACGAUGCGUAGCCGACCUGAGAGGGUGAUCGGCCACACUGGAACUGAGACACGGUACAGACUCCUACGGGAGGAAGCAGUAGGGAAUCUUCCGCAAUGGGGGAAAGCGUGACGGAGCAAAGCGGGGUGAAUGAUGAAGGUGUUCGGAUCGUAAAACUCUGUUAUUAGGGAAGAACAAAUGUGUAAGUAACUAUGCACGUAUUGACGGUACCUAAUCAGAAAGCCACGGCUAACUACGUG
RNAcentral lists this ribosomal RNA (497 nucleotides) under uncultured bacterium. RNAcentral describes it as "partial 16S ribosomal RNA". It matches the Rfam family "Bacterial small subunit ribosomal RNA", at positions 28 to 507 of the family's 1533-position model. The record is from RNAcentral.